UCAGAACUUUUCAAAAGGUUUAAUAUUAAAAUGAAAGUAAAAACAUACAAAACUUUUCUAAACUAUAAAGUAUUUUGAAUUAGCUAUCUAACCUUUUAAAAUUUUAUUUUUACUAUCUAAUCUUUUUGUACGUUAGAACUGAAUCAGUUAAUAAUAUUUUGACAUCAAAAUUUGAAUGCAUCAUUUAGUUUUACAGAUUUAAUUAGUAC
Molecule: long non-coding RNA, 209 nt
Filed under: Ananas comosus (pineapple)
Lineage: Eukaryota; Viridiplantae; Streptophyta; Magnoliopsida; Poales; Bromeliaceae
Description: long non-coding RNA (ACOM_LNC039342)
Source: RNAcentral